UACAGAGGUCUCGAGCGUUAGGCGGAAUCACUGGGCUUAAAGCGUGUGUAGGUGGAUCGUUAAGUACCUUGUGAAAUCCCACGGCUUAACCGUGGAACUGCUUGGUAUACUGGCGGUCUUGAGCCAGCUAGGGGCUACCGGAACAAAUGGUGGAGCGGUGAAAUGCGUAGAUAUCGGGAGGAACACCUGUGGCGAAAGCGGCUCACUGGACCACAACUGACGCUGAUGCGCGAAAGCUAGGGGAGCAGACAGG
This 253-nucleotide ribosomal RNA is filed under the name uncultured bacterium. Its description in RNAcentral is "partial 16S ribosomal RNA". It matches the Rfam family "Bacterial small subunit ribosomal RNA", at positions 524 to 776 of the family's 1533-position model. The record is from RNAcentral.